Molecule: long non-coding RNA, 260 nt
Filed under: Panax ginseng (ginseng)
Lineage: Eukaryota; Viridiplantae; Streptophyta; Magnoliopsida; Apiales; Araliaceae
Description: long non-coding RNA (PGIN_LNC009319)
Source: RNAcentral
AUUUGUUCGUCAACCAGGGUUUGGUGCAUGUAGAAAUAUUUUUAAAAACGAGUUUCAAAUACACCAAGCGUACCUGAGAAUUUUGUUCGUCUAACGACAAUUUAUUUCAAAUGCCCUUGCACUUAACUUCCAUGCAAACCCAACACAUGACUCAAGACCUAAUGACUUAAGUUUUUGGGUAGUUCCAAACAUACAAGUAUUUUGUAUGCAUAGGCUUACGCAAUUGACGAAAAAUAUGUUUUUGAAGCAUGAGAUUUAAA